GGAGAAGGGGAAGUAAAAACUCUUCCUCCAUUUGUUGGGCUUUAAUUGGCUUCAGUUUGAAAUAAUCUGCCUGUUGGGUGGCAUGUUCAAGGGACACUCAUUUCCAACCUCCACAAGUGCAACUAAAAAAAUUGUGGGUAGUCCUACCUGGUUUGUUUUGAUGGGGUCUUCACAGCACAGCCAGCCAGGCUCCCCGAGUGAGCGUUAUCAGCCGAGACCACAUUACACCGCCAAGUGGGUAUUGGUGUCCCCACCGUGCAGCAGAGAAAACUGAGGAUUGCUGAGAUCAGUUGUCCGCCCAGCGUCACAGCAGCGCCAGGGCUUCUCAUCAUCGUUGUGUCACCUGGCUGGGCUGGCUUUAAUUCAGUGACACGGAGACCCACAGCCUGGAUGUGGAGAGCAGCAACUGCCUGAUUAAAUUAAUUUAGGAAGGAAUGACUACAAGCUUGGCAAAUACCCUUUGCAAGAAUCUGGGCAUCAGAGACACUUGACAGCUAAA
Long non-coding RNA from Artibeus jamaicensis (Jamaican fruit-eating bat), 499 nucleotides. RefSeq lists it as uncharacterized. The transcript has 3 exons. The record is from RefSeq and is a predicted model, not a curated record. NCBI's taxonomy places the organism in Eukaryota, Metazoa, Chordata, Mammalia, Chiroptera, Phyllostomidae.